RNAcentral lists this ribosomal RNA (106 nucleotides) under Pelodiscus sinensis (Chinese soft-shelled turtle). Lineage: Eukaryota; Metazoa; Chordata; Testudines; Trionychidae. The record is from RNAcentral.
CUCAGCAAAACAGCGUCCUGACAUUGCUCUCACAAGCUAAGCAGAAUUAUAUUUGGUUAGUAUUGGGAUGGGAAACCACCUAAGAAAAUCCACAGUCCUGCAGAGA